AACGCACAUUGCGCCCCUUGGUAUUCCAUGGGGCAUGCCUGUUCGAGCGUCAUUUGUACCCUCAAGCUCUGCUUGGUGUUGGGUGUUUGUCCACUCCCUGGUGUUUGGACUCGCCUUAAAGCAAUUGGCAGCCAGUGUUUUGGUAUUGAAGCGCAGCACAUUUUGCGAUUCUAGCCUGAAAUACUAGCGUCCAGUAAGUCAUUUUUCACUUUUGACCUCGGAUCAGGUAGGGAUACCCGCUGAACUUAA
RNAcentral lists this unclassified non-coding RNA (249 nucleotides) under uncultured Pleosporales. RNAcentral describes it as "sequence contains ITS2". The record is from RNAcentral. Lineage: Eukaryota; Fungi; Ascomycota; Dothideomycetes; Pleosporales.